AUCUAUUUUUCCAUCGCCCUUCAAUGGUAAACCCUUAUCUGUUUGUGCGACCACCGUUCCAUUCGCCAUCGGCUGUGACAUUGUCGAGGAUUCGCAGGCCUCCCCUGUAGCUCUCUCUGGUUUUUCCAUUGUGACGCAUAUGGUAAGAUUUUUAAACCAAUUUCAUCACUGUUUCCAUGCAUAGUUAACAAGAUGUGAAACUGGACUUCAUGGAAUUGAUUUCUUUGGUGAUUAAGCUGAUUUCCCCUAAUUGAUUCUAGCAUAGUAGCAUUUUUGAAUAUUUUCUUAGGUGUUGUAGUGACCAAUUAACCUUAUCAACCUCUAGCAGUAACUACAAUAGCCAAAUAGAAGACAAAAAUGCCAUUACUUCUUCUGUUGGUUUAUUUCCCACAACUUCACCAUACUUCUAUUCUGAUGCCAAUUUUGCUUAUAAUGAGUGUUUAUCGAGAAUAUCUGAAAUCUAGAACUAGGCGCCAAAAAUAUAGAGAUUAGCAUAAAUGUGGUGAGGAUUGUCUAGUUACGAAUUUGGGACUGGUGUGGCCUAAUUCAAGGUUUGCUUGUGGAUGAUGGUACCUUGUAAACAACUUAAUUUACUUGUGAAUCUGAUAUGUUUGUUGAUAAUUGAAGAAGCAGAUAAGUGGUAGGAUUUAGAAAUAUUAGAAGUGGAAUGCAUGGACUAGUAAAACCGUAUGGUUUAUUACAUUGAUGGUUAGUACAACACUUAAGUCUUAGUGUUGCCACACAUACAUGGUGAGGCACUAAUGCCUAUUUAUAGCUGGAGUCACCGCCUUGAUUUUGGCGGUUUAUUAUAUGAUACAAUUGGAUCAUUCUAGAGUUUAGAAACAUCAAAAUAGUCUAUGUGCUUUCUAUAAUAGUGUAGAUUUUAAAAGAUAAUUCUAGAAAUUUGCAUCAAUUCUUAACAAUGUUUAACCUCUUACAUUUUCCUUCAAUGUAUACAUCUUAGCAAGCUAUCUCUAUGGUGGAGAUUUUGUAUGAUAAUUCGAUUAGCUCAUUAAGUUAAUUCAAUCAUGUUUCUGGGAAAUAACUUUUUGGUAUUUAAAUUAUUUCUGUAGCAUAGUCUUUAGGUUGAUUCUACUGCUUAAAUGAAAAUAUUCUGUCUGUGCUUUUUCCUUGCUUCAACUUGGGUGUGUGUUAAAAGCUUGCUCCUGUGGAUGUUGACAUGGCAAGGUUCUUGCUAACAAUCAGAAAUGUUUAUGUGCUCUUAUUUUAAAUGGUUGAACUCACUGGACAAGUUUUUGAAGUAAUAAAGUAAGAAACAAUUUUUUUAAAAAGGAUAUAAUUCUUGAAGAAGUCAAUUUAAUGUGAAGCUUAAAGAUUAGGAGGAGUGAUUUCAUUUGAUUAGCUCAUAGUUCUGAGUUUAUCUAAUGCUGGUUAUAGGUAUUAUGAUUACAUUUACUUGUAUAGACUGACUAAUUUAUUUCCUAUAUACAUUAGACCCCCAAAGUAUAAGCAAGAUAUCACACACACAGAAAUGGGGAUGAUGAGAAGAAAAAGAAUAUUGUUUUUGUUUCUAAUGACCAGAUGAGGAAUUGGGUGAAUGAGAUAGAACAUUAUGCUAUUCUGGUCAACAUACUGGUCUGGUCAAAUCUAAAAUCUUGUAGGCCACCUUUGAUCUGGGGUCUGUUAUGAUCGUGAAAGAUUAGCAAACCCUAACAUUGGUAGUUGCUUUGUUUCUUUGUUGGUUGUAUGUUUCUGGCUUCUUUUGAUAUGAAAAUAUUAUUUUUUGCAAGAGUUAAUCGCUUUAAUAUUUUUUUUCAGUAACACCUAGCAAAUUGAAAUGAGAGAGUUCUGCUUUGAAUUAUCUAUUUGGUUGGCAGUAAUUAGUAUGUCUAUGAAAUUUAACUUUCUCUGUUUUCCUUGGACUUCAUGGCAUAAGAAAAGUUCACAUAGGCGGUUAAAAAGGCAUAAAGCCACAUAAAAAUUAACUUGAACUCUUUGGCAUUUAAUUUAUCUUCUUUUCUACUUUCAGUACUCUAUGAAGACCCGGAACUUUAAAAUUAGAGCCACAUGGAAAUUUCAUCAUCCUAGAGACCAAGUUGGGAACUGAGAUCGCUGGAAGAGUUGCCUUAAGCAUUUUCACUGUGGUGUGAGAGUGUUGGCGGUUCACAGUCAAUGAUGUCAUGCUCAUAUCAUGGUCACUUCGGGUAAUUAACUUCAAAUAUUUUCAUUUUCUAUUUGCUUAUAUAUAGUUUCAUGAGAAUUUCUCAAAACUUAUGAAAAAGAUGGGAGUGUUUAGGUCACGGGUUCUUAAAUUAAGGUCUUGUUUUCUAGUUGUCGGUAUGUUUGGAUUGACAGAACAUAACAGAGCAGAACGAAUUGAAAUAUAAUGGAACAGAUAGAGCGGAAUGAAAUGGAAUAAAAAUCUCAUCCCAUUGUUUGGGUAUUUUAUGAUAACACGAAACAAAAUCACCACUCCCUUAUUUGGAUAAUGGACGGAGCGGAAUGAGUUAUAACUUUUUUAUUCCUAUAUUACCUUUCUUUAAAUAAUAAAAUUCUCAUUAAAUUAUUAAAAUGAUUAACAAAAUAAUUUUUUAGAGGAAUUAACAAAAUCAUUAUCCUUGCUAAACUCUCAUUAUAUCUAUUUACUCAAAUUAAAUUAUAUCCUCAUCAUUUAUCUACAGUAAACUAUACUAGUAUAUGCCAAUAUUUUUUUAUAAAACGUACUGAACAUAAUAGAACACUAUCGAAAAAAGUAAACGAAAAAUAAAAGAAUGCAACAGUUGGAAAAAAAAAUAGUUUGUUGACAAAUAAAAGAAUAUGUAUACAUUAGUAUUAAUAAUUAAAUAUGAACAGUAUCAUUAUAUUACCUUUCGUAAGCUGUAAUGUUUUAUUUUUGCUAGAUAUGUUAAAAUAAUGUUGGAACUUGGUUGUUUGUGUGAGGGGAGAGAGUAGAGACUCACGGAGAGAGAGUGGGAGAGAGUGGGAGAGACUAUUAAGUUAAGGGCUAGAAAUCUAGAAUUGUAAAUUGAUAAUUUUUAUAAGUGUAAAAUCUUGAUUUCAUCCCAUACCUUCCAAAUUGAGGGAAGCAAAAUGAUGGAAACUAAUCUCAUCUCAUUUCCAUCUCAUCCCACCUUUUCAUAACAUAUCCAAACAAUAGAACAUAAAAAUAUUUCACUCCAUCUCAUCUCACCCCACUCCCUGCCACCAAUCCAAAUAUAGCCUAAUGAUGGCAUAGUGUAUAUUUGACUGUGGAUAAAUGAUGAAGAUAUAAACUAAUUAGAGUAAAUAGAUAUGAUGAGAUUUUAGCAAGGUAAUUAUUUUGUUAAUUAUUUUUGUAGUUUAAUGAUAAUCUUUUAUUUUAAAGCAAAGGUAAUGUAGGAAUUAAAAAGUUAUAACUCAUUCCGCUCCAUCCAUUAUCCAAAAAGGGGCGUGGUAACUUUAAUUUGUUAUGUUCCAUCAUUAAAUACCCAAACAAUGGGAUGAGAUUUUUAUUCCAUUCUGUUCUGCUCCAUUAUAUUUCAUUACGUUCCGCUCCGUUAUGUUUCAUCAAUCCAGCCUAAAUGUUUGCAUAGAUUAACACAUCACGAUAGCAAAAUAACAAUAUAAGGAACAAUGGCUGAAAAUGGUGGGUGGAUGGUUGACCAAAAAUAUGUAUACUGCAUGUUUGCACAAACUAUAUAUUAAUUAAUCAGGUUCUAGUACUUUUUGAGAUAAAUAUGUUGAGAUUGAUACUUUGAGACACUAUUACAACACUAGUAGCAGAUUAGGUAGACCAUCACAACACGUUCAACAGAGGAAUAUGUAGCAGCAAAUGCUAGGAUAAGCUAACUUCAAUUUUAGAAUUGAGAACUUAAUUUUCAAGUAUACACUAUUUGUUCCCCUUCUUCAUGUAACUUUUGUCAUGGACAUGAUUAAAGUUGUAUAGUGCAAUUUCUCAAACUCAAUGGCUUGUGAAAUCUUGUGUGCAAACCUUGAGAAUAAUUCAUCCAUGAUACCUUUGCCAAAUGCGGCAGAGUAAAGUGGUUCCACGACGGAUCUGAGGGUCUUGGAAAUUAACUCUCCUUUAAUUUUGGUAUCCAUGUCAUGUGGAAGGUGUCCAUCCAAACUUAUUUGGAUAGUUUUCAGUGUUUGAAGGGUAAAAGAUCCUUCUGCCUCAAUUAUUUGUUUGACUUCCUCCACAGUAGGAAUAUAUAUAGGCAUAUUAAAGCAAUCUAAUUUAGUCUCUUCAAGCAAACCCUGCAUUUAUAUUAAUUUAUAGGGAACAAUAUUAGUUACUACCAAAUAGGAAUAACAUGUUAUAAACUACAGAAAAACAUUACAUUCCAGUUAGUUUCUUGAAAAUCUAGUAAUAAUGGUAAUCAAAAUUGUAUUCGUUGCAUACCUCCAAGACCAUGUCCUUCAGUACCAACUCAAUUAAGUCCUGCGUAGUACCCUUUUCAAAUGCAGCAUUUUCUCUUCCCAGUAAAGAUAGUACCAUACUUCCAUCAAGUGUUAGUUCGUUCGAACGUGAUCGAAGAAAUAGAUUGAAAUCUCUUUGGAAUUGCUCAAAAUAUGCUUUAUACACUAUUUUAGGACUUUUGAUUGUUAAAUAAAUAUGACCCUUGUUCAGUGGUUCUGCCCCUUUAGUCAAUUCUUCUGGAGACUGUUCCGGAAAAAGCAAUAGACACACACAAAUGAUAUUAUUUUGUGCUUUGCUUCACAAACACAACUUUAACAACUUUAAUAUAUAUAUUAAUAAAUACCUGCGAGAGCCAAUGAAGACUAUUCGAAGAAUGAAAGAAAUCGAUGUAAUUAUUAGGAAAGAGCCUCCCAUAGAAGUUCCCUGGAGUUGCAUUUAUAAAGCAUGCUCCAGCUUUGUCUCCCCUAUCUUGUAUCUUUUGGUAGAAAUCAGGAAGUAACUUGAAGAUACCAUUAAAAUCGUUUCCAAAAAGAUCACUAAGAUAAACUUGGAGUAUGGGCACCUCUUGCUUUGAGCCCAAUCUAGUUGUGUUGAUGACGCUCAUUAUAUCGGACACGACCAGAAGUGAAUUUGGUCCUGAAGAGCAUCCUAAAUCUGCCACUUUCAAAUUACUUUUAAAAGUGGUGUGAUGCAACAAUGUCUUAAUACUUUCUUCUAGUAUUGACUUCAUUUCAAAUAACACUUUUCUCUGCAAUAAAAAAAACUUGGUUACAACAAUGACGACGCCAACAAUAAUAAGCCAAAUGUUAUCCCAUAAUCUUAGGGACAGCUGUGAUAUAAAAAAUUCAAAAUGAUGAUCUGUAGGUUAUUAGCUGAAUCUGUUUUAUUUUGGCAUUCCUUGAGAUUUUCUCUAUGGUGUUAUGAUGUUAUAGGGAUGCCAUUUUAGAAACUGAGGUUUAUUUUGAAAUUUUUUGGGGUGGUGUUUUGGAUGAGAUUUUAUUGUAUAAGGUUGUAUAUCCGUCAUGAGAAUGGUUGUUUCUCAUGUUCUCUUAAUUUUAUGAAUAUAACUCUUGCUUUAAAAAGAAUUAUUUUUCAAUAAAAAAUUAUAUUUUCUAUAAUUUUUUUACCAGAAGUUCGAGGGAGAGUAGAAGUAGUAACAAGAAGAGAAUGCAUACAAUGGAAAAGUUCAAGGGAGCAUAUGAUUAUUGAGUAGGCAGCUGAGGUUCUUUCUCCCUUGAGAAAUUAAUCCGGUAAGUUAAAUAUUAAUUCGAUCUCUUUACUUACUAUUGACACCAAAAUAUUGGCUGAUGCAGAAUGGUUGUAAACUAAUUUAAUCGAGUCAAGGUUAGCUCAGAGCAGACAAGUUUAUUUUUUAUAUGCUAAAUAAUGAUAUUAAUGUGGAGCACAAGGGGUGCCCCAUCCGAUACAAAGGAAAAACAAAAGUCUAAAUAACAAGAAACAUCCUACAGCGUUCAAAUGAAGUAAAAAUCACAUACUCUAUAAAACUGACACAUUUCAACGGGCUUUGCCAACAAAUGAGAAG
RNAcentral lists this long non-coding RNA (5903 nucleotides) under Lotus japonicus. Its description in RNAcentral is "long non-coding RNA (LJAP_LNC000351)". The record is from RNAcentral. Lineage: Eukaryota; Viridiplantae; Streptophyta; Magnoliopsida; Fabales; Fabaceae.